RNAcentral lists this ribosomal RNA (686 nucleotides) under uncultured compost bacterium. Its description in RNAcentral is "bacterial SSU rRNA". It matches the Rfam family "Bacterial small subunit ribosomal RNA", at positions 416 to 1090 of the family's 1533-position model. The record is from RNAcentral.
CUUCGGAUCGUAAAGCUCUGUUAUUAGGGAAGAACAAGUACCGUUUGAAUAAGGCGGUACCUUGACGGUACCUAACGAGAAAGCCACGGCUAACUACGUGCCAGCAGCCGCGGUAAUACGUAGGUGGCAAGCGUUGUCCGGAAUUAUUGGGCGUAAAGCGCGCGCAGGCGGUCCUUUAAGUCUGAUGUGAAAGCCCACGGCUCAACCGUGGAGGGUCAUUGGAAACUGGGGGACUUGAGUGCAGAAGAGGAGAGUGGAAUUCCACGUGUAGCGGUGAAAUGCGUAGAGAUUUGGAGGAACACCAGUGGCGAAGGCGACUCUCUGGUCUGUAACUGACGCUGAGGCGCGAAAGCGUGGGGAGCGAACAGGAUUAGAUACCCUGGUAGUCCACGCCGUAAACGAUGAGUGCUAAGUGUUAGAGGGUUUCCGCCCUUUAGUGCUGCAGCUAACGCAUUAAGCACUCCGCCUGGGGAGUACGGCCGCAAGGCUGAAACUCAAAGGAAUUGACGGGGGCCCGCACAAGCGGUGGAGCAUGUGGUUUAAUUCGAAGCAACGCGAAGAACCUUACCAGGUCUUGACAUCCUCUGCCAACCCUAGAGAUAGGGCGUUCCCCUUCGGGGGACAGAGUGACAGGUGGUGCAUGGUUGUCGUCAGCUCGUGUCGUGAGAUGUUGGGGUUAGUCCCGC